CCUAGGGUGGCUGCAGUGGGGAAUAUUGGACAAUGGGCGAAAGCCUGAUCCAGCCAUGCCGCGUGUGUGAAGAAGGCCUUCGGGUUGUAAAGCACUUUCAGUGGGGAAGAAAGCCUUGGGGCUAAUACCCUCGAGGAAGGACAUCACCCACAGAAGAAGCACCGGCUAACUCCGUGCCAGCAGCCGCGGUAAUACGGAGGGUGCGAGCGUUAAUCGGAAUUACUGGGCGUAAAGCGCGCGUAGGCGGUCUGAUAAGCCGGUUGUGAAAGCCCCGGGCUCAACCUGGGAACGGCAUCCGGAACUGUCAGGCUAGAGUGCAGGAGAGGAAGGUAGAAUUCCCGGUGUAGCGGUGAAAUGCGUAGAGAUCGGGAGGAAUACCAGUGGUGAAGGCGGCCUUCUGGACUGACACUGACGCUGAGGUGCGAAAGCGUGGGUAGCAAACAGGAUUAGAUACCCCAGUAGUC
This 464-nucleotide ribosomal RNA is filed under the name Vreelandella stevensii. Its description in RNAcentral is "partial 16S ribosomal RNA". It matches the Rfam family "Bacterial small subunit ribosomal RNA", at positions 338 to 795 of the family's 1533-position model. Lineage: Bacteria; Pseudomonadati; Pseudomonadota; Gammaproteobacteria; Oceanospirillales; Halomonadaceae. The record is from RNAcentral.